ACGGGAGGCAGCAGUGGGGGAUAUUGCACAAUGGGGGGAACCCUGAUGCAGCGACGCCGCGUGAGUGAUGAAGUGCUUCGGCAUGUAAAGCUCUAUCAGCAGGGAAGAAGAUGACGGUACCUGACUAAGAAGCCCCGGCUAACUACGUGCCAGCAGCCGCGGUAAUACGUAGGGGGCAAGCGUUAUCCGGAUUUACUGGGUGUAAAGGGAGCGUAGACGGCAUGUCAAGUCAGAUGUGAAAACCCGCGGCUCAACUGCGGGAUGGCAUUUGAAACUGAUAAGCUUGAGUACUGGAGGGGCAGGCGGAAUUCCUGGUGUAGCGGUGGAAUGCGUAGAUAUCAGGAAGAACACCGGCGGCGAAGGCGGCCUGCUGGACAGAAACUGACGUUGAGGCUCGAAAGCGUGGGGAGCAAACAGGAUUAGAUACCCUGGUA
RNAcentral lists this ribosomal RNA (434 nucleotides) under uncultured Lachnospiraceae bacterium. RNAcentral's name for it is "partial 16S ribosomal RNA". It matches the Rfam family "Bacterial small subunit ribosomal RNA", at positions 341 to 792 of the family's 1533-position model. Lineage: Bacteria; Bacillati; Bacillota; Clostridia; Lachnospirales; Lachnospiraceae. The record is from RNAcentral.